AGCUUUGCACAGUGGUAGUAUCAUAGCCAAUGAGAUUUAUCUGAGGCAUGACUAUUGCUAAUUGAAAAAUGUUUAUUUUGUGAAAAAUCAGUGAAGAGUAUAAUUUUAAUGCACUCUUCUUUUUGUGCAAUAUAUACCAAAAA
This is a small nuclear RNA of Heterocephalus glaber (naked mole-rat), 143 nucleotides long. Its record names the gene U4. It matches the Rfam family "U4 spliceosomal RNA". From Rfam's summary of the family: U4 small nuclear RNA (U4 snRNA) is a component of the major U2-dependent spliceosome. The structure of U4 snRNA from yeast and human has been reported. U4 snRNA presents a k-turn RNA motif in the 5p-SL related to recognition of Snu13 protein. Lineage: Eukaryota; Metazoa; Chordata; Mammalia; Rodentia; Bathyergidae. The record is from Ensembl.